UCUUUGGAGAGUUUGAUCCUGGCUCAGGACGAACGCUGGCGGCGUGCUUAACACAUGCAAGUCGUGCGGAAAGGCCUUCUUCGGAGGGUGCUCGAGCGGCGAACGGGUGAGUAACACGUGAGUAAUCUGCCCUGCACUUUGGGAUAGCCACCGGAAACGGUGAUUAAUACUGGAUAGGACUGCCUCCUGCAUGGGGGGUGGUGGAAAGCCCUUUGGGGUGGUGUGGGAUGUGCUCGCGGCCUAUCAGCUUGAUGGUGGGGU
RNAcentral lists this ribosomal RNA (261 nucleotides) under Gemmatimonadota bacterium. RNAcentral's name for it is "Gemmatimonadetes bacterium (activated sludge metagenome) partial 16S ribosomal RNA". It matches the Rfam family "Bacterial small subunit ribosomal RNA", at positions 1 to 258 of the family's 1533-position model. The record is from RNAcentral. Lineage: Bacteria; Pseudomonadati; Gemmatimonadota.